UCCGGUUUGACACCGGCAGUCUCCCUAGAGUGCCCGGCAUAACCUGCUGGUAACUAGGGACGAGGGUUGCGCUCGCUGCGGGACUUAACCCAACAUCUCACGACACGAGCUGACGACAGCCAUGCACCACCUGUGAUCCUGCCCCGAAGGGAAACCCUGUUUCCAGGGUGGUCAGGAACAUGUCAAGCCCAGGUAAGGUUCUUCGCGUUGCGUCGAAUUAAACCACAUGCUCCGCUGCUUGUGCGGGUCCCCGUCAAUUCCUUUGAGUUUUAGCCUUGCGGCCGUACUCCCCAGGCGGGGUGCUUAAUGCGUUAGCUUCGGCACGGACGGGGUCGAUUUCCGCCCACACCUAGCACCCAACGUUUACGGCUAGGACUAC
Molecule: unclassified non-coding RNA, 379 nt
Filed under: uncultured Thermoleophilia bacterium
Lineage: Bacteria; Bacillati; Actinomycetota; Thermoleophilia
Description: contains 16S-23S intergenic spacer region
Source: RNAcentral